AAACGUAGGAGGCGAGCGUUAUCCGGAUUUACUGGGCGUAAAGCGCACGCAGGCGGCUUCGUUAGUCGGAUGUGAAAGCUCCUGGCUUAACUAGGAGAGGCCAUUCGAUACUGCGAGGCUUGAGGUUGGGAGAGGGGUGCGGAAUUCCCGGUGUAGUGGUGGAAUGCGUAGAUAUCGGGAGGAACACCAGUGGCGAAGGCGGCACCCUGGCCCACACCUGACGCUGAGGUGCGAAAGCGUGGGUAGCAAACAGAAUUAGAUACUCUGGUAGUCCACGCCGUAAACUAUGUCAACUAGGUGUCGGUAGUGUUACACUAUCGGUGCCGUAGCUAACGCGUUAAGUUGACCGCCUGGGGACUACGGCCGCAAGGCUAAA
RNAcentral lists this ribosomal RNA (376 nucleotides) under uncultured bacterium. Its description in RNAcentral is "bacterial SSU rRNA". It matches the Rfam family "Bacterial small subunit ribosomal RNA", at positions 523 to 898 of the family's 1533-position model. The record is from RNAcentral.